AACACACACCAUCUUCACAACAUCUUUUGCCUUCUCUCAGAAAAAUCACCGACAUUAUCCCAUUAUACCAUGGAGGCCUGGAGGAAGACAACCAUGUGUUGUUUGAUUCUUUUCUGCCUUAUGGCUACAUGUAAUGAGGUUUCAUCUACCGAAAACAUGUGCUAUCACAACCAUUGGAAUAAAUGCCAUCCUGAUCAAAAUGGAAUGUGUCGAGAUAGUUGUGUGAAAGACGGAUGGGAUGAUGGACAAUGUCGGAAGAGGUUUAAAAGACUAAUGGGUGCCAAGUGCGAAUGUUACCCUAAGACUUGUGAUCAUUAGGGAGGCAACAUGCGACUUUCUUCUACCAAGUUACUACUAUUUAUAAAUUUACAUCGGUUUUAAUGAUUGACGUCAAACAUGUUGUAACACCAAUCAUGGUGAAUACUAUAUCACCUUCUAUUUAUUUCUUUAUUCCAGACCAUUGUAUUCAAAUUAUGAUGUUACACAAUUAUACCUAAUUACUGUUUGAUGUAUCCUUAAACUAAACAGAUUUUUGAGUGCUUAUUAGCAACA
Triticum dicoccoides is the source of this 552-nucleotide long non-coding RNA. RefSeq lists it as uncharacterized. The transcript has 2 exons. NCBI's taxonomy places the organism in Eukaryota, Viridiplantae, Streptophyta, Magnoliopsida, Poales, Poaceae. The record is from RefSeq and is a predicted model, not a curated record.